Non-coding RNA from Tinamus guttatus (white-throated tinamou), 237 nucleotides. Lineage: Eukaryota; Metazoa; Chordata; Aves; Tinamiformes; Tinamidae. The record is from RefSeq and is a predicted model, not a curated record.
GAGUAUGCAAGCAGGUAGAAACCAUUCCACGGGGGGCCGACGUUGGCUUCCUUGGUUGGGCUAUGGAGCUGGAUUCUAAAGAGAAAGUCUCCACUGACUGUGUUCCUCAAGCUGCAAAGAUGAAUCAAGAUUCAAUGGUUUUUGAAAACCAUGGAAGCAGAGGUACUGCCCAGCCUUGCCCAAGAUGUAUGGCUGGAGAAUCUGGACACUUCAGUCAUAUUCUGCACUCGUAGAGAU